RNAcentral lists this ribosomal RNA (1372 nucleotides) under uncultured bacterium. RNAcentral's name for it is "bacterial SSU rRNA". It matches the Rfam family "Bacterial small subunit ribosomal RNA", at positions 28 to 1381 of the family's 1533-position model. The record is from RNAcentral.
GUUGAACGCUGGCGGCGUGCCUAAUACAUGCAAGUCGAGCGAACGGACGAGAAGCUUGCUUCUCUGAUGUUAGCGGCGGACGGGUGAGUAACACGUGGAUAACCUACCUAUAAGACUGGGAUAACUUCGGGAAACCGGAGCUAAUACCGGAUAAUAUUUUGAACCGCAUGGUUCAAAAGUGAAAGACGGUCUUGCUGUCACUUAUAGAUGGAUCCGCGCUGCAUUAGCUAGUUGGUAAGGUAACGGCUUACCAAGGCAACGAUGCAUAGCCGACCUGAGAGGGUGAUCGGCCACACUGGAACUGAGACACGGUCCAGACUCCUACGGGAGGCAGCAGUAGGGAAUCUUCCGCAAUGGGCGAAAGCCUGACGGAGCAACGCCGCGUGAGUGAUGAAGGUCUUCGGAUCGUAAAACUCUGUUAUUAGGGAAGAACAUAUGUGUAAGUAACUGUGCACAUCUUGACGGUACCUAAUCAGAAAGCCACGGCUAACUACGUGCCAGCAGCCGCGGUAAUACGUAGGUGGCAAGCGUUAUCCGGAAUUAUUGGGCGUAAAGCGCGCGUAGGCGGUUUUUUAAGUCUGAUGUGAAAGCCCACGGCUCAACCGUGGAGGGUCAUUGGAAACUGGAAAACUUGAGUGCAGAAGAGGAAAGUGGAAUUCCAUGUGUAGCGGUGAAAUGCGCAGAGAUAUGGAGGAACACCAGUGGCGAAGGCGACUUUCUGGUCUGUAACUGACGCUGAUGUGCGAAAGCGUGGGGAUCAAACAGGAUUAGAUACCCUGGUAGUCCACGCCGUAAACGAUGAGUGCUAAGUGUUAGGGGGUUUCCGCCCCUUAGUGCUGCAGCUAACGCAUUAAGCACUCCGCCUGGGGAGUACGACCGCAAGGUUGAAACUCAAAGGAAUUGACGGGGACCCGCACAAGCGGUGGAGCAUGUGGUUUAAUUCGAAGCAACGCGAAGAACCUUACCAAAUCUUGACAUCCUUUGACAACUCUAGAGAUAGAGCUUUCCCCUUCGGGGGACAAAGUGACAGGUGGUGCAUGGUUGUCGUCAGCUCGUGUCGUGAGAUGUUGGGUUAAGUCCCGCAACGAGCGCAACCCUUAAGCUUAGUUGCCAUCAUUAAGUUGGGCACUCUAAGUUGACUGCCGGUGACAAACCGGAGGAAGGUGGGGAUGACGUCAAAUCAUCAUGCCCCUUAUGAUUUGGGCUACACACGUGCUACAAUGGACAAUACAAAGGGCAGCGAAACCGUGAGGUCAAGCAAAUCCCAUAAAGUUGUUCUCAGUUCGGAUUGUAGUCUGCAACUCGACUACAUGAAGCUGGAAUCGCUAGUAAUCGUAGAUCAGCAUGCUACGGAGAAUACGUUCCCGGGUCU